UUGCUAUCUGCGAUAUGGAAGAUUCGAACCUGCCGCAGGUUCGGGUCUCACGUAGUGAGACAACGGAGCCGCUUGCGGCGACGGCCCGAAGGGCGAGCAAAGCGAGUCAUCCUGUACGACCCACCA
This 126-nucleotide small RNA is filed under the name Salmonella enterica. Its description in RNAcentral is "RtT sRNA". It matches the Rfam family "RtT RNA". From Rfam's summary of the family: This family represents a bacterial cis-regulatory element known as RtT RNA. The exact function of RtT is unknown although it is thought that it may be involved in changing the cellular response in relation to amino acid starvation. Lineage: Bacteria; Pseudomonadati; Pseudomonadota; Gammaproteobacteria; Enterobacterales; Enterobacteriaceae. The record is from RNAcentral.